RNAcentral lists this ribosomal RNA (945 nucleotides) under Serratia marcescens. RNAcentral describes it as "bacterial SSU rRNA". It matches the Rfam family "Bacterial small subunit ribosomal RNA", at positions 56 to 984 of the family's 1533-position model. The record is from RNAcentral. Lineage: Bacteria; Pseudomonadati; Pseudomonadota; Gammaproteobacteria; Enterobacterales; Yersiniaceae.
UGCAGUCGAGCGGUAGCACAGGGGAGCUUGCUCCCUGGGUGACGAGCGGCGGACGGGUGAGUAAUGUCUGGGAAACUGCCUGAUGGAGGGGGAUAACUACUGGAAACGGUAGCUAAUACCGCAUAACGUCGCAAGACCAAAGAGGGGGACCUUCGGGCCUCUUGCCAUCAGAUGUGCCCAGAUGGGAUUAGCUAGUAGGUGGGGUAAUGGCUCACCUAGGCGACGAUCCCUAGCUGGUCUGAGAGGAUGACCAGCCACACUGGAACUGAGACACGGUCCAGACUCCUACGGGAGGCAGCAGUGGGGAAUAUUGCACAAUGGGCGCAAGCCUGAUGCAGCCAUGCCGCGUGUGUGAAGAAGGCCUUCGGGUUGUAAAGCACUUUCAGCGAGGAGGAAGGUGGUGAACUUAAUACGUUCAUCAAUUGACGUUACUCGCAGAAGAAGCACCGGCUAACUCCGUGCCAGCAGCCGCGGUAAUACGGAGGGUGCAAGCGUUAAUCGGAAUUACUGGGCGUAAAGCGCACGCAGGCGGUUUGUUAAGUCAGAUGUGAAAUCCCCGGGCUCAACCUGGGAACUGCAUUUGAAACUGGCAAGCUAGAGUCUCGUAGAGGGGGGUAGAAUUCCAGGUGUAGCGGUGAAAUGCGUAGAGAUCUGGAGGAAUACCGGUGGGCGAAGGCGGCCCCCUGGACGAAGACUGACGCUCAGGUGCGAAAGCGUGGGGAGCAAACAGGAUUAGAUACCCCUGGUAGUCCACGCUGUAAACGAUGUCGAUUUUGGAGGUUGUGCCCUUGAGGCGUGGCUUCCGGAGCUAACGCGUUAAAUCGACCGCCUGGGGGAGUACGGCCGCAAGGUUAAAACUCAAAUGAAAUUGACGGGGGCCCGCACAAGCGGGGGGAACAUGUGGGUUUAAUUCGAUGCAACGCGAAGAACCUUACCUACUCUUGA